CGGGGAUUAGCGCAGUUGGUAGCGCGCUUGUUUCGGGAGCAAGAGGUCACGCGUUCGAGUCGCGUAUCCCCGACCA
This 76-nucleotide transfer RNA is filed under the name bacterium. Its description in RNAcentral is "tRNA-Pro". It matches the Rfam family "tRNA". Rfam says of the family: Transfer RNA (tRNA) molecules are approximately 80 nucleotides in length. Their secondary structure includes four short double-helical elements and three loops (D, anti-codon, and T loops). RNAcentral also lists the same sequence under 2 other names. The record is from RNAcentral.